UCUUUUCAGGGGAGACCUGUUGUCUGACGUAUUUUACCAGCCAAACAAGUGUGUGCAAAGCUGUUUGUCUGAAGAGAUAUUGAACAAUUGUUCGGUCCCUCUGACUCACUGUAAAAUUGGAAGAGAUACAGCGUUCAGCAAAUUCUGUGAAUUAGUAAGCAGAAAGCAUAUUAAACAUGCAAUGUUUAUAUAUCAUAAUGUAUCGAUGAUUUUAUGCACCUCAUUUUGGCAUUAAUUUUUUUGUGAGGGUUCAUAGCACUCUAGUAAACCUUCUAACGAGGCUGUAGUAAAAACUUCACUGCUAUUAAAGCUUCACUGAAACGUGCAGAAAGCGACAUCCAGUUUAGGUGUUUGCAUGUGUUGGCACAGAGGCUAGCAGUGUAACACUGAAAUUUGGAAAUACUGAUGUCUGGAGAUGUUUUCUCACCCCAAUAGCUUGUGCAUCUGUUAGAUUCCAACCCAUCCAACCUCUGAGCGUAUGUACGGCUUUAAGGCUGGAAAAGUCUGAAAUUAAUUUAAUUUUACUGAAAUUAAAUUAAUCAAAUGCUUAAUAUAAUGGCAUUUUUAAAUGUUAUGCUGGGCUGGGGCCUAAAUCAAUGGAAUUACAGGAAUCUGCCCAGGUGAAGCACUGACAGGAGACGAAGUUCAGCCCCACCAGGAGACGUGGCAGACUCCCGGUUGGCGCUGCGCAGCGUCACCGGCGUGACACGCGCAGUGAAAUUGCCUCAUUCGGCACCUUGGCCGCGGGGGCAAACCCCAGCUCUGCAGGGCACCCGGCUUAUACCCGCAGAAGAGCCCUUUUCCCGAGAAUCGCCUGGCUACCCUGGUGUGACAAAGUUAGAAAUCUUGCUGUACUCUGGGCACCGCUCCUUAGGAGGUACUGGGAUUGUUCAUGUCAGUCUGAGCGUCUCUGCAUGUGAGGUAAGCCUAGGAACUUUCUUCUGCUACGCAGGCUGUCCGGAGGAGUCAGUGUUACAGCUUAGUAUUUGUGGCAUUACCUCUGCAAUCUUGGAUAUAAUCCUCUGA
Molecule: long non-coding RNA, 1026 nt
Filed under: Struthio camelus australis
Lineage: Eukaryota; Metazoa; Chordata; Aves; Struthioniformes; Struthionidae
Description: lncRNA (ENSSCUG00000010800.1)
Source: RNAcentral